Molecule: long non-coding RNA, 449 nt
Filed under: Rhinopithecus bieti (black snub-nosed monkey)
Lineage: Eukaryota; Metazoa; Chordata; Mammalia; Primates; Cercopithecidae
Description: lncRNA (ENSRBIG00000046169.1)
Source: RNAcentral
UUUUGUUCACUCCAUACCCAGGGCCUGGAAGAAUGCCUGACCUAGAAGAUACCCAAUGGAUUCUUACGGCAGGAAUGUCCAAUGGGUGUUAGGGGUGAGGCUCAGGGAAUUAAGCACCUUGUGCUGGGUCACAGAGGCUGAAUUCCAGUAGCCAUUCUGCGUUGCAGCCCUUCAUCUAGAUGCUGUUCAUUAAGAGGAGUGCCCCCGCCCCCACCCACCAUGGGGCUGGCUGCUCACCAGCACCAUUAACAGUGUUUGGCACAUGCUGGACUCUCAAGAGGUCACUAAGCUAAGAAAAUAUAGCAUGUCCAUCUGGCCAGCUUCCCAGAUACAGCCUCAUGAAGUUCCAGCAUACAGAGAAGUGAAACGGGAGAAUGGAAUAAUCUGUUCAUUCUUUCGUUCAGUAUUUACUGAGCACCCACUAUGUGCUAGAUAUUGUUAUAGGUGCU